This 23-nucleotide non-coding RNA is filed under the name Arabidopsis thaliana (thale cress). Lineage: Eukaryota; Viridiplantae; Streptophyta; Magnoliopsida; Brassicales; Brassicaceae. The record is from RNAcentral.
UGAGUCAAUUGGUUUGAUGAGUA